GGACAUGAGGCAGCAGUGUGGGCAGGUGGGCAAGAAGGCCAAUGGCCCCUGGCCUGGUGUCGUGGUUUGAAGGGAAGUGAGUUUUUUUGGAAGUAGUGGUCAAACCAAUCAGUCUUUAGAUCUGAAUAUUGGCACCUUUGUUGGCCACUAAGAGGUGGACACGCCUCUGAGGACACGAGGGGUUAAAAGCCGGAUUUCCCAGCAGGACUCUCUCUUUCCCUGCUCUGCUUUCGGAGAGGGAGCGUCUUCUCCUCUCCCCUGCCGGCCUGGCUAGGCCGGGUGGGGGAGGGGAGCAAGGUGGGCCUGGCUGAGCAAGAGAGAAGGUGCCGAGCUGGAGCUGCUUGUGAGAACUGCAGUGUCUGCGAUCGCCUGUGCCUGACCUUGGUGGUGGGAGAUAAAGCUUUUAACUCUUUCUAAGGCAGAAGAGAGUUAUCCCUGGACGCUGUAUUCUCAUAGUUGGUGGUUUUAGAAGAGAGAGGACAGCCUGGGACCGAGAGGGUAAUGUGAGAUGAAGAGAAGCCCCUUCGAUUGCCGGAAUGAAGAGGAGUGGCUUAUGAGGCUGGACUUUUCUUGCAUAAUGAUAGCCAUAGACGGACCCUGGACCCUCCUGACUAUAAAUAAGACUGUGUUUGGGUGGAUGUUUUUGGCUCAAACCCAGAGACGUUCUGGCCUGCUUCUUGGAGCCCCCGGCCCCAGGGGUAAAUGGGGGGGACCUGAGUCCCAAAAUGAGAAGAUGGCUGGUUUUUGGUACUUGGCCAAAACAUCCUUAAAAAGAGCCCUGUUGCAGUGCAGGUCCAUGGACAGCAGUGAGAGUGCCGGACAUGGAAAGGAGGGUGUCACCCUGGCAGACUCUUCUAGGCAGUGCCAUGGGUGACGUGGGAACACGGGAUGGUGGACCUGUGUUUCCUGUGGGGGGGGGGGGUCUGUGGUGCGAGAGAGACUCCUCUCGUCCUGGAUGGAAUGUGGAUUGUCUGAAUUUUAAAGGAUGAUGAUUUGGAUUAGGAACCCAGGGUUGUUGAGGGAUUAAGCAAGUAGAUGAAGGUAAUGUGCUGGAGACAACUGAGUGAGCAUGUAUGGAAUGGAAAUUGGGGGGAGGAGAAGCAGUGUUUUUGGGAGGUUUUCUCUUCUGCUUUUGGGUGGUUGGGUUUUUCUUUCCUUUUCUAUUGUCCGUUGUUAUGUAGUGUAAUAAAUUGUCUGUCUGUUUCAAGUA
Molecule: long non-coding RNA, 1210 nt
Organism: Prinia subflava (tawny-flanked prinia)
Lineage: Eukaryota; Metazoa; Chordata; Aves; Passeriformes; Cisticolidae
Exons: 2
Source: RefSeq, a predicted model, not a curated record